GCUUAUCAAAAUCCAAUAAUUCAACCGAGCAACCCUCCCGCCCUAACUUCAUAAAUCCGAUUCGUCCAAACCAGUUCACGGUGAUUUCACGCGAUCCAUUGAUACUAUUCCACAAUAUCUUGAACACAUGUUGAAGGGCGAUUUUUUAUUCUUAACACGACAAAUAUACGUGGAUCGCCCUGCAGGCUGCAGUGCACACGCCCACUGUUUUAUGAAACCAUUGAGCGAUGAGCCCACCCUAAUUCAACCCAACCCAACCCAAACCACCUCUCCCUGUUGUAAACAACUCAAUGAGGUGGUCCCACUACUAGCCUAAUGAGUCUCGUGAAAACCACACACGCAUACUGCUUUAUAGCUUUAACCUUAAAUUAAUCUUUAUAAUUACACUCUCAUACUCUUGAUUAGUAGUAAUAGCAACUGUGAGAGAGAUGCCAUUCCUAGUUCACAUGAUCCGCUUUGUUAUCUCCAUCUUCAUUUUCCAUCGCUGAUCUCUCUGCAUCUCAAUCACAAUAUCAGGUACUCAUUCUCUCUCGCUCACCUGUGUGUUUGCUGACGUUACUGCAUUCUCUCGAUUUCUCCGGUUCUAUGGAUAAUUUUACUUGAAUCAGGAUUUUCACUGAGAUGCGCAUUCUCCAAUUAGGUCUAAGAUUUCGAAUUCAAAGACUGUUUUGAGAUCUGAAUUAAAUGUUUGCUUUAGCUGUCUUUUUAGUAUUGUGAUUACUGUUCAUCUGAUAUUUCUGCUUCUUGUUUUGAUUUUUCAGUUAUUUAGUUUCAAAUCUGUAUUCUUCGCCGUAAUCGCCAUGGAUUCUGAUAACAAGCUCCUCAAUAUGGGUGUCCUCAUCGUGGCCACUCUAAUAGUGGCCAAGCUUAUCUCCGCCUUUGUUAUGCCUAGAUCUAGAAAACGUCUGCCUCCAGUUAUGAGCGGUUGGCCAGUGGUUGGGGGGCUAUUCCGGUUCUUGAAAGGCCCGAUUAUAAUGCUUCGUGAUGAGUACCCAAAGCUUGGCAGUGUGUUCACUGUGAACCUAGCUCACUGGAAGAUUACAUUUUUGAUCGGUCCUGAGGUGUCAGCUCACUUCUUCAAGGCUCCAGAGGCAGACCUCAGCCAGCAGGAGGUCUAUCAGUUCAAUGUGCCUACGUUUGGUCCAGGUGUUGUCUUUGAUGUUGAUUACACAGUGCGACAAGAGCAGUUUCGCUUCUUUACAGAGUCUCUGAGGGUCAACAAACUCAAAGGAUAUGUGGAUCAGAUGGUCAUGGAAGCAGAGGAUUACUUCUCAAAGUGGGGAGACAGUGGUGAAGUUGACAUAAAGUAUGAGCUUGAACAUCUGAUUAUCUUGACUGCUAGUAGAUGUCUACUAGGUCGAGAAGUUCGUGAUAAGCUUUUUGAUGAUAUGUCAGCGUUGUUCCAUGACCUGGACAAUGGAAUGCUCCCUAUCAGUGUUUUAUUCCCAUAUCUGCCCAUUCCAGCUCACCACCGCCGUGACAGGGCUCGUAAGAGGCUUGCAGAAAUCUUUGCAAACAUCAUAGCUUCUCGUAAACUUGCUGGCAAAUCAGAGAACGACAUGUUGCAAUGCUUCAUAGACUCCAAAUACAAAGAUGGUCGCCCAACUAGUCAAUCUGAGAUUACAGGCUUGCUUAUUGCUGCUCUUUUUGCUGGGCAGCACACCAGUUCCAUUACCUCCACUUGGACUGGGGCAUACCUCCUCCGUUACAAGGAGUACUUAUCUGCUGUAUUGGAGGAGCAAAAAGCCCUGAUGAGAAAGCACGGGAAUAAGGUUGAUCAUGAUAUUUUGUCUGAGAUGGAUGUCCUGUACCGGUGCAUUAAGGAAGCGCUAAGGCUCCAUCCUCCACUAAUAAUGCUGCUGCGCAGCUCUCACAGUGAUUUUAGCGUGACAACUCGAGAGGGAAAAGAAUAUGACAUCCCAAAGGGCCACAUUGUUGCAACAUCUCCAGCAUUUGCAAACCGGCUCUCUCAUAUUUACAAGGAUCCUGACAGAUAUGAUCCUGACAGAUUUGCUGUUGGGAGGGAAGAAGACAAGGCGGCAGGGGCAUUUUCAUAUAUUUCUUUUGGAGGUGGUAGGCAUGGCUGCCUUGGUGAACCAUUUGCAUAUUUGCAGAUAAAAGCUAUAUGGAGCCAUUUGCUGAGGAAUUUUGAAUUGGAGCUGGUAUCUCCUUUCCCCGAGAUUGACUGGAAUGCAAUGGUAGUUGGUGUGAAAGGAAAGGUGAUGGUGCGAUACAAGCGCCGGGAGCUUUCAGUUAACUAGUGGGAACAACAUUGUGGAUGUUUUGCAGAUAUUAUGCACGCUAGGGCUUGAUCGUGCUUUGAUUUUAUAUUUUUUAUACAUUUCUAGGAGGUGCUUUGCUCUAUUAAAUGGAUUGUGAAAUUGUGGCCUUAUUUAAGUUUCCAUAGACUUACGGUAAUUGUAGCUUGUGACGCUUAGGUUUUGUUUGAAUUGUGAGGAUUGAGGAUCAAAACUUGGAGUUCUGUUCUAAACUUGUUAACGAUGCAAUUUGGUCUAGCUUUUGUAAGCUUGAAGAAUACAGGUUGAAGAAUACAGAAAACUAGUGCAAGUGCCUUAAUAUAUUGUCUAGUCUUUAGUACUUGCAUAUUCUUGACGGGUGAUGCCUCGAAUCUUGACCAUUUCAUUGCUCUUGCUAAUGGUUGAUUUUG
Molecule: unclassified non-coding RNA, 2668 nt
Filed under: Hevea brasiliensis (rubber tree)
Lineage: Eukaryota; Viridiplantae; Streptophyta; Magnoliopsida; Malpighiales; Euphorbiaceae
Source: RNAcentral